RNAcentral lists this ribosomal RNA (253 nucleotides) under uncultured bacterium. RNAcentral describes it as "partial 16S ribosomal RNA". It matches the Rfam family "Bacterial small subunit ribosomal RNA", at positions 524 to 776 of the family's 1533-position model. The record is from RNAcentral.
UACGGAGGGUGCGAGCGUUGUCCGGAAUCACUGGGCGUAAAGGGCGCGUAGGCGGCCUGAUAAGUAGGGGGUGAAAUCCUGCGGCUUAACCGCAGGGCUGCCUUCUAAACUGUCAGGCUAGAGCACAGUAGAGGCAGGUGGAAUUCCCGGUGUAGCGGUGGAAUGCGUAGAGAUCGGGAAGAACACCCGUGGCGAAGGCGGCUCUCUGGGACGGUACUGACGCUGAGACGCGAAAGCGUGGGGAGCGAACAGG